GCGGAUGCUAACGCAAUG
RNAcentral lists this small RNA (18 nucleotides) under Arabidopsis thaliana (thale cress). RNAcentral describes it as "snRNA_14081". Lineage: Eukaryota; Viridiplantae; Streptophyta; Magnoliopsida; Brassicales; Brassicaceae. The record is from RNAcentral.